This is a non-coding RNA of Pantherophis guttatus, 742 nucleotides long. The record is from RefSeq and is a predicted model, not a curated record. NCBI's taxonomy places the organism in Eukaryota, Metazoa, Chordata, Lepidosauria, Squamata, Colubridae.
AAGAAAAGCUGGAGAUUUAAUGUGGACUUCCAAACUUUGAAGGACUAAUAUAAGGGAGAAGCUGUGGAUUUGUUCUCCAGAACAUCUCAAGUGACCAAGAAGAUCCCUUUGUUUUGAUAACCAAAACUAAUGAACCUGCUGCCAGCCAGAGCAUUCAUACCUGUUUCCAGAUGGAAUGGACCGAUGGAUUCAAAUUGAGCAUCAAAGAUUGAUUUGCAACGGCUGUUGUAACUCUGAAUGGUCACCAGAUCGAACUGCUGUAAGUUGAGGACUACAUGUGUUUAUCAUCGUUGUUGCGAUCAAGGAAUAACCCAGAACAAAGAACAAGAAAAAAAUUGUCCUAUUUGUUUGGAAACCAAAUUCACAGCAAGGAACCUGGGAAUUAUCUGAGCAAUAUUGCAAGAUAUAACAGGUGUUUGGCAAGGUGGAGAAAAACUGGUUGAACCUGAGAAGGAAGGAGAAGAAAAAAAAGGAAAAAAGUGAGAAUGAAAACAGGAACUGGUUUUGGAAGGACACUUCUCUUUCCUAGGUGAGGUUCAAAAUCCUGGCAUGUUUAUAGCUUCAGAGGCAGACAUCCAAUUAUGCCGAAUUGGAUCACCAGCCUCCCAAGGUAAAGAUGUGUCCCUUUCAAUAUUGUCAGGUUUUCGAUGUCACCAGAAUCAAAAGCUACCCUGAUAUUAGACCUUGGUUAUUGUUGUUGUUUUUUCCUCCCUGGAUGAGUUUGUCAGUGUCAUGAUUUACA